Molecule: long non-coding RNA, 1222 nt
Filed under: Felis catus (domestic cat)
Lineage: Eukaryota; Metazoa; Chordata; Mammalia; Carnivora; Felidae
Description: lncRNA (ENSFCAG00000043145.2)
Source: RNAcentral
GCACACACCCUCCCUCGUCCCCCCUCCCAGCCCAGCCUCCCCGAGAGGCCAACGGUGGGGGGGGUGGAAGAGAGAGGGCAAUCUUCCCCACUAACCAAAUUUCAUCCCGUGACGUUUCAGAGGCAGAGUGAGACACAGCCCUCCUCGCAGGCAGACACCGGCUCCCGUUUGGGGAAUCUGCCCCCCGAGACACGUGUCCAGCUCCUUAGGGAAAGAGUCGUGAUAAAAGCUUGGACUUUCUCAGAUUCCACUUCCCUCCGGAGGGCCGCCCGGAGCUCUCCCUGUCCGGCUCGGGGACGGGGGUCUGCGGAAACAGAAGCAGGGGGAAGAUCUCCGGCUGAAAAUCCGGAAGCUUCUCCAGCAUAUCCUAGGGGCUCCUUCACAGAAAGAAGGUACUUUUGAACCCUGGUAAUUCCCAGACUUUCCUAAACACUUAGGUUUGUCCCCCAAAAGACAGACACCGAGCUCAGGAGCAUCACGGGGGUCUCGCAGCCGGGUUUUUGGCACAAAGCAAGUUCACAGGGCGGACCCCAAGGUGGUACACAGAGUGUGUGUUAGGAGACAUCGCCCGCUUUUAAGCUUUUUAAAGCUUUUUUUAAAACUUCUUGUUCUCCUCAGUUUCUGCAUCUGUCCAAUGGGCAUUCAGACUCGUUGGCUUAAUGGAAGAAGCCGUGUUUGCAUUCCUCUUCUGAGGCCGAACCCCCAGAUGCUCUGGCAGAUUCCACGUGGAGUCUGAGCAGACAUGAGUACGGCUGGGAAAGGGACGGGGCAGGCACAGGAUUUCUGCCCGAAGGUUCUCCUGUCCACCGAGCUGUGUUCCAGUGAGGAUGUCCUGCUUUUCUCGUACUUCUGUGUGUUUCUGUUUCCUCCUUUGUCCUAGUGAGCGUUAUUUAAAAAAAAAAAAAAUCUUUUUGGUCAUAUGGAACUGUCCUUUUUUAGGGGAGGGGGGGAGUACUAAAAUGAUACUGAGUAACAGGAAGUUAAUCUCCUUCGUCUGGUAAUGCAGGCUUCUAGUAAGUUAAUUGGAUUUUCUACCUAAACGUGGAUAAAGUCAUUUACGCAGCAACAUUUCUCCAGAUGAGAUCGCUCGCUUAGAAUGCAGCGUGGCUCUGGUCUUCGGGCUCUCGGGCAUGAAUUGUGACGCUUGUCUGUAAACCUCGUUCCCUUGGACACGUCCUUACAGGUAAAUAAAUCAGCAAAGGAACGAUUAGUUCCUAGGCCC